Acanthosepion pharaonis is the source of this 112-nucleotide non-coding RNA. The record is from the annotation of a GenBank genome assembly. NCBI's taxonomy places the organism in Eukaryota, Metazoa, Mollusca, Cephalopoda, Sepiida, Sepiidae.
ACGACCAUAUCACGUUGAAAAACCGGUUCUCGCCCGAUCACCAAAGUUAAGCAAGGUUGAAUAUUGUCAGUACCUAGAUGGGUGACUGCUUGGUAAUACCAGCUGCUGCAAG